Molecule: ribosomal RNA, 1193 nt
Filed under: Neochloris aquatica
Lineage: Eukaryota; Viridiplantae; Chlorophyta; Chlorophyceae; Sphaeropleales; Neochloridaceae
Description: LSU rRNA
Rfam family: Bacterial large subunit ribosomal RNA
Source: RNAcentral
UUUACCGUUCUGUAUACCAACAAAGGUGGGUUGGCAUAAAUGUGCCAAGGUUUACACUGAUUCCCGGGAAAGGAACUCGGCAAAAUGCUAGCGUGACUUCGGAGCAAGCUAGGUCAAACCAACGUUUGACGGCACAAAAUAGUAGGUGAGGACUGUUUAGUAAAAACACAGGACUUUGCGAAGAAUUACCAUGUAUAAAGUCUGACGUCUGCCCGGUACAAGGAGAUAAAUUUGUUUGGUUUUUUGCUGGAUGGAUUAAGGACUUGUAAACGGCAGCCAUAACUCUGAUGGUUCUAAGGUAGCGAAAUUCCUUGGCCUAUAAUUGAGGUCCUGCAUGAAUGACGUAACGAUCGCCUAACUGUCUCUCCCGGGACGUGGGCGAAUUUGACAUUCUCGUGAAGAGGCGAGAUUCUAAACACGGGACAACGAGACCCUGUGCACCUUUACUUUUAGCAGCUAUUUACAAAAAUUUGUAAUUUGUUCAGAAUAGGUGUGAGUUUUUUUACAACAAGUGAGAUAGCACCCUGAUUAUGGAUUUUGUAUAGAAUUUUUAAUUUUAAAAGUUUCAAUUUAGUUGCAAGAGAGUUUCUCUGGGGCGGAGGCCUCCAAAAUAGUAUCGGGGGUGUGCCAAGGUUUGCAUACAGUAUAAUAUACUUUAAAUAAAAUGGUAACUCAUAAAGCAAGCUUAACUGUAAGGUUUACAAACCAAGCAGACACGCAAGUGGGCAGUAGUGAACGUGCUUAAAGAUGUGGAAUUUAAGUAUAUCAACGGAUUAAAGGUACGCCAGGGAUAACAGGCUUAUUUUCCGCAAGAGUCCAUAUCGACCGGAAAGUUUGGCACCUCGAUGUCGGCUCAUCGCGUCCUGCUGCUGUAGAAGGUAGCAAGGGUUAGGCUGUUCGCCUAUUAAAGCGGUACGUGAGCUGGGUUUAUUCCGUCGUGAGACAGGAAGGUUCUUCUCUGUGUUUAGACUUUAAUCGACCUAUGUUAAAGCCUUUGAGUACGAAAGGACCUAAAGGUUCGCACCUCUGGUCUACCAGUUGUAAAUUUAUUUGCACCGUUGGGCAGCUAAGUGCGCAAGCAGUAUAACUGAAAGCAUCUGAAGUUAGAAAACUGUACAUAGACAAGUCGCAAAAAAAGCAAUAGACUAUUGCAUUAAUCGGUAUUAAGUAUUGAAUUGCUUGAAUAUACGAAA